This 74-nucleotide transfer RNA is filed under the name Candidatus Azambacteria bacterium. Its description in RNAcentral is "tRNA-Ala". It matches the Rfam family "tRNA". Rfam says of the family: Transfer RNA (tRNA) molecules are approximately 80 nucleotides in length. Their secondary structure includes four short double-helical elements and three loops (D, anti-codon, and T loops). Further hydrogen bonds mediate the characteristic L-shaped molecular structure. tRNAs have two regions of fundamental functional importance: the anti-codon, which is responsible for specific mRNA codon recognition, and the 3' end, to which the tRNAs corresponding amino acid is attached (by aminoacyl-tRNA synthetases). tRNAs cope with the degeneracy of the genetic code in two manners: having more than one tRNA (with a specific anti-codon) for a particular amino acid; and 'wobble' base-pairing, i.e. permitting non-standard base-pairing at the 3rd anti-codon position. Lineage: Bacteria; Candidatus Azamiibacteriota. The record is from RNAcentral.
GGGCCCGUGGUAUACUGGCAACACAUUUCCAUGGCAUGGAAAAGUAAGGGGUUCGAUUCCCCUCGGGUCCACCA